CUUACUUCCUUUCCGGGAUAAGCGGAUUUCGCUUUGGGGGAAAGGAUGGGGGGGUCAUCAAACAGCCGGGGGCUUUUUUUUUUGACGUUAUUGCAGUAUGGGAAUCUGUCAAGCCUCUUGGCCGGAAUCGAUCGCACGAUUGUCAUGGGUAGCGUAGCUGCCCUGCAUGUUCAACCUUUGUCCUCGAAACCCAUUAAGCACUGAAUGAGAUUUGGGCGAGCCGCCGGCGUCUUACGGCGGGGGAGCGCGCAACGCGGGCCUGUAGCUCAGUUGGUUAGAGCGCACCCCUGAUAAGGGUGAGGUCGGUAGUUCGACUCUACCCAGGCCCACCAUCUUAGCCAAGCACCUUCACGGGGCUGUAGCUCAGCUGGGAGAGCACCUGCUUUGCAAGCAGGGGGUCACCGGUUCGAUCCCGGUCAGCUCCACCAACUUCUCAUUUGGCUGCUUCCAGAUCGGAGCCUUCAGUAUCCAUGCUGAAGACUUCAAUCUGGAAGCAGGCUGGCGAUUCAGUCGGUCUUUAACUGGAUCAGUCUGGCAGGUUUCAACGGCCUCAGGGCCGGUCCUUCCCGGCGAAAGGGAAGGUUUGGAUGUUUGACAACGAAAUUGAUUGGGUAACGCGAUUGGAGAGCUGCGUGUCCGCCGUGAGGCGCACAGGUCAGCAGCAAAAGUUUCCAAGAGCGUAUACAUACAAGGCCAAGCACAAGCAUGAGUCAGCAAUGAUUCAGGCAAGUGUUCAAGUAAGAAGAGUGUCUUUAGGAGAUGUAAUUCGAACCCGCGUGAGCGUGGUCGAGUUACUCUCAAGGCGAAUAACUGGGACUAACUUGAGGCAGGACUGAAGUGAUUCAGCUCCCUGCGCUGGAGUUAAUUCUAUGGUCAAGCUACUAAGGGCGCACGGUGGAUGCCUUGGCAGAGACAGGCGAUGAAGGACGUGGCAAGCUGCGAUAAGCUUCGGUAAGCCGCACACAGGCGUUAUAACCGGAGAUUU
RNAcentral lists this unclassified non-coding RNA (985 nucleotides) under uncultured Alphaproteobacteria bacterium. RNAcentral's name for it is "partial contains 16S ribosomal RNA, 16S-23S ribosomal RNA intergenic spacer, and 23S ribosomal RNA". The stretch from base 872 to 985 matches the Rfam family "Bacterial large subunit ribosomal RNA", at positions 1 to 113 of the family's 2925-position model. The record is from RNAcentral. Lineage: Bacteria; Pseudomonadati; Pseudomonadota; Alphaproteobacteria.